Non-coding RNA from Paramuricea clavata, 309 nucleotides. The record is from the annotation of a GenBank genome assembly. Lineage: Eukaryota; Metazoa; Cnidaria; Anthozoa; Malacalcyonacea; Plexauridae.
UUUUAAAGAAAAUGGCCACCUGUUUGCUAAUAUCAGGAUUUUGUUGUGGAAGUUAUGUCAAAGUUUAUAAUGUGAAUGAGGCAGCAGCUCGAAAAAUGCCACAAAUUUGCUGUUUAAUUUUGGGAAAGAAAUUAUGGAAAACAGCAAGUUUCUGACUCAAAUUCAUACUUUGUCCUUUUUCUUUCUAAGAUAUUAAUGAAUGUGACGACACGAAUACCUGUAUUGGCGGUACAUGCACAAACACUGUUGGUAAUUUCUCAUGUACCUGUAAUGAAGGUUAUAUGAAGCAGGGAAAUGCUUGUAUAGGUA